AUAUUAAGUUGGUUGAAAAUUAUAAUUACAAUAAACUUAAAUCAUAUGGGAAAAGCGUUGUAGUUUUUUUCACACAACACUAUAGUUUUUCUCACAAAACAUUGUCAAUUACUGCAACAUUUUUUCUCAUGGGUUUUUUUCCUUCCAAGAUUAUCUUUGGUGGUUUUUUUUUAAUAUUAAGUUGGUAGAGAAUUUAGCUUUGUAAUUUUUUUUUGUUUUUUAUUAACAGAAAAGCUAAAUUAUGUGGUGAAAGCAUUGUAUCUUUCCUCCCAAAUUACUGUGGAUUACUACAAAUCAUUUUGUUCAGUCUCUAAGUUUUUUAUCACCAACACAACUUUUUUUUC
Molecule: long non-coding RNA, 344 nt
Filed under: Populus tremula
Lineage: Eukaryota; Viridiplantae; Streptophyta; Magnoliopsida; Malpighiales; Salicaceae
Description: long non-coding RNA (PTRE_LNC003405)
Source: RNAcentral